GGGGGAUGCGAGCGUNAUCCGGACCUANNGGGUNUAAAGGGAGCGCAGACGGGAGAUNAAGNCAGUNGUGAAAGNNUGCGGCNCAACCGUAAAANCGCAGUNGAUACUGGUUUCCNNGAGUGCAGUNGAGGCAGGCGGAAUNCGUGGUGUAGCGGUGAAAUGCUUAGAUAUCACGAAGAACCCCGAUUGCGAAGGCAGCUUACUAACCUGUAACUGACAUUGAUGCUCGAAAGUGUGGGUAUCAAACAGGAUUAGAUACCCUGGUAGUCCACACGGUAAACGAUGAAUACUCGCUGUAGGCGAUAUACAGUCUGCGGCCAAGCGAAAGCAUUAAGUAUUCCACCUGGGGAGU
Molecule: ribosomal RNA, 352 nt
Filed under: uncultured bacterium
Lineage: Bacteria
Description: partial 16S ribosomal RNA
Rfam family: Bacterial small subunit ribosomal RNA
Source: RNAcentral